GAUGAACGCUGGCGGCGUGCCUAACACAUGCAAGUCGAGCGAAGCACUUACUUUAGAUUUCUUCGGAAUGACGAAGUUUGUGACUGAGCGGCGGACGGGUGAGUAACGCGUGGGCAACCUGCCCUGUACAGGGGGAUAACAGUUAGAAAUGACUGCUAAUACCGCAUAAGCCCACAGCUUCGCAUGAAGCAGUGGGAAAAACUCCGGUGGUACAGGAUGGGCCCGCGUCUGAUUAGCUAGUUGGUAAGGUAACGGCUUACCAAGGCGACGAUCAGUAGCCGACCUGAGAGGGUGACCGACCACAUUGGGACUGAGACACGGCCCAAACUCCUACGGGAGGCAGCAGUGGGGAAUAUUGCACAAUGGGGGAAACCCUGAUGCAGCGACGCCGCGUGAGCGAUGAAGUAUUUCGGUAUGUAAAGCUCUAUCAGCAGGGAAGAAAGUGACGGUACCUGACUAAGAAGCCCCGGCUAACUACGUG
RNAcentral lists this ribosomal RNA (481 nucleotides) under uncultured bacterium. RNAcentral's name for it is "partial 16S ribosomal RNA". It matches the Rfam family "Bacterial small subunit ribosomal RNA", at positions 28 to 507 of the family's 1533-position model. The record is from RNAcentral.